Molecule: ribosomal RNA, 532 nt
Filed under: uncultured bacterium
Lineage: Bacteria
Description: bacterial SSU rRNA
Rfam family: Bacterial small subunit ribosomal RNA
Source: RNAcentral
GCAAUGGGCGCAAGCCUGACCCAUCGACGCCCCCUGGAGGACUAACGUCUUAGGAUUGUAACCUCCUGUCACGCCUAAGGAAGGCUGUCUGGUUAACACCCAUGCAGAUUGACGAAGGUGCGAGAGGAAGUCAUGGCUAACUCUGUGCCAGCAGCCGCGGUAAUACAGAGAUGGCAACCGUUGUUCGGAAUCACUGGGCUUAAAGGGCACGUAGGCGGAAGAGUAAGUUGGUAUUGAAAGCUCCUGGCCCACCCAGGAAGGGUGUACCAAAACUACUGUUCUGGAGAUUAGGAGGGGAGAGUGGAACUUCUGGUGGAGCGGUGAAAUGCGUUGAUAUCAGAAGGAACGCCGGAGGCGAAAGCGACUCUCUGGACUAAGACUGACGCUGAGGUGCGAAAGCUAGGGGAGCAAACGGGAUUAGAUACCCCGGUAGUCCUAGCCGUAAACGAUGAACACUAGGUGGUGGCUCUCAAGGUCGCCGCCUGAGCAAAAGCAUUAAGUGUUCCGCCUGGGGAGUAUGGUCGCAAGGCUG